RNAcentral lists this ribosomal RNA (37 nucleotides) under Olea europaea subsp. europaea. RNAcentral describes it as "partial 5.8S ribosomal RNA". The record is from RNAcentral. Lineage: Eukaryota; Viridiplantae; Streptophyta; Magnoliopsida; Lamiales; Oleaceae.
GACUCUCGGCAACGGAUAUCUCGGCUCUCGCAUCGAU